GACGAACGCUGGCGGCGUGCUUAACACAUGCAAGUCGAACGGAAAGGCCCUGCUUUUGUGGGGUGCUCGAGUGGCGAACGGGUGAGUAACACGUGAGUAACCUGCCCUUGACUUUGGUAUAACUUCAGGAAACUGGGGCUAAUACCGGAUAGGAGCUCCUGCUGCAUGGUGGGGGUUUGAAAGUUUCGUCGGUUGGGGAUGGACUCGCGGCUUAUCAGCCUGUUGGUGGGGUAGUGGCUUACCAAGGCUUUGACGGGUAGCCGGCCUGAGAGGGUGACCGGCCACAGUGGGACUGAGAUACGGACGAGACUGCUGCGGGAGGCAGCAGUGGGGAAUAUUGCAGAAUGGGCGGAAGCCUGAUGCAGCAACGCCGCGUGCGGGAUGACGGCCUUCGGGUUGUAAACGGAGUUCGCCUGUGACGAAGCGUGAGUGACGGAAAUGGGUAAAGAAGCACCGGCUAACUACGUG
Molecule: ribosomal RNA, 468 nt
Filed under: uncultured bacterium
Lineage: Bacteria
Description: partial 16S ribosomal RNA
Rfam family: Bacterial small subunit ribosomal RNA
Source: RNAcentral